Molecule: long non-coding RNA, 504 nt
Organism: Stylophora pistillata
Lineage: Eukaryota; Metazoa; Cnidaria; Anthozoa; Scleractinia; Pocilloporidae
Source: RefSeq, a predicted model, not a curated record
UGUCUGCCUAGUUAUAAUCUCGAUGUCUGCACGUGAACGAUUAGGCUAUUCUUAACGUGCUGAGCGUAAAGAGCGGCGCUGCAGGUCUUUGGUAAAUGUUUGCCAAGCGGAGAUUCGAGUUUCGUUUUGAGUCAGCGGUCAAGGAUUUUCUUUACAAGGAUUUCUCUUUUCAGUGUGAUCUUCUUUUCGCGGAUGAAGGACAUUCUGCAAAUUUCGAAGCUCUUUGGCGUUAACAAAACAAAUGAAUGCUUGCCAUGGAUGCCCCUUCGUGUCGCAGAAUUGGCUGACGGGAAUUAGUGACGCUACUCACCUACAUUUUGCCAUGCUUCGUUUCUGUUUAGCCAAGGGAUCAAGAAGUUAAAAGAUGAAAAGCGUAAAGACAGCAGAAGUCUGACGCGAUGGUGAUAUAAUAUUGGAUCAGAACAGUUUGUUUAUAGUAUACCACAAAAAUCCACCAUAAUCCAUGUAAAGAAGAUAAGGAAAUAAAAGAAAAGAUUAAAUGGC